This 507-nucleotide ribosomal RNA is filed under the name Cytobacillus firmus. RNAcentral describes it as "bacterial SSU rRNA". It matches the Rfam family "Bacterial small subunit ribosomal RNA", at positions 39 to 524 of the family's 1533-position model. The record is from RNAcentral. Lineage: Bacteria; Bacillati; Bacillota; Bacilli; Caryophanales; Bacillaceae.
CGGAAUGCGGCGUGCUAUACAUGCAAGUCGAGCGGACAGGAUGGGAGCUUGCUCCCUGAAGUCAGCGGCGGACGGGUGAGUAACACGUGGGCAACCUGCCUGUAAGACUGGGAUAACUCCGGGAAACCGGGGCUAAUACCGGAUAACUCUUUUCCUCACAUGAGGAAAAGCUGAAAGAUGGUUUCGGCUAUCACUUACAGAUGGGCCCGCGGCGCAUUAGCUAGUUGGUGAGGUAACGGCUCACCAAGGCCACGAUGCGUAGCCGACCUGAGAGGGUGAUCGGCCACACUGGGACUGAGACACGGCCCAGACUCCUACGGGAGGCAGCAGUAGGGAAUCUUCCGCAAUGGACGAAAGUCUGACGGAGCAACGCCGCGUGAGUGAUGAAGGUUUUCGGAUCGUAAAACUCUGUUGUCAGGGAAGAACAAGUACCGGAGUAACUGCCGGUACCUUGACGGUACCUGACCAGAAAGCCACGGCUAACUACGUGCCAGCAGCCGCGGUAAU